CAAGCGUUGUCCGGAUUUACUGGGCGUAAAGAGCGUGUAGGCGGUCCGGUAAGUCCGCUGUGAAAGUCGGGGGCUCAACCCUCGAAUGCCGGUAGAUACUGUCGGGCUAGAGUACGGAAGAGGCGAGUGGAAUUCCUGGUGUAGCGGUGAAAUGCGCAGAUAUCAGGAGGAACACCUAUUGCGAAGGCAGCUCGCUGGGACGUAACUGACGCUGAGACGCGAAAGCGUGGGGAGCAAACAGG
Molecule: ribosomal RNA, 242 nt
Filed under: uncultured bacterium
Lineage: Bacteria
Description: partial 16S ribosomal RNA
Rfam family: Bacterial small subunit ribosomal RNA
Source: RNAcentral